GCGUAAUUAAGCUUACCCAUUUUCUAUAUUAACGCAUGCGCAAAACUCAAUGCAUUAAUAUCAAUAACUGAGGCUAAAAUGGCGGAGAAAAGUCCUGGAGUAAUUUUAUAAUUCUAUAAAGACGCUGAGAAUCGGAUACCUCUUCAAGUUUCCGUCGAGUAUUACGCAUUGUCACCAAGUUAGUUUUGUGUACAUGGUAAAAAACCCUGUGGCACACUAUAUUUCAUCAAGACAAGGUUUGCCACCUCUACAUCAAUACAGACAGUUUGGUAGCGCUCGUCUAAAUAAGACUUCUCCCAUCCAAGUGGUUUGCCUGCAAUACCAAAAUGAUGAACAAGACGAUGCAACAGAGUCCCGUGAUCAAUGGUAUCAAAGGCUGCUGACAGGUCGAGUAACAUUAUUGCAAUCAAGAGAU
Mercenaria mercenaria is the source of this 415-nucleotide long non-coding RNA. RefSeq lists it as uncharacterized. NCBI's taxonomy places the organism in Eukaryota, Metazoa, Mollusca, Bivalvia, Venerida, Veneridae. The record is from RefSeq and is a predicted model, not a curated record. The transcript has 3 exons.